RNAcentral lists this long non-coding RNA (3616 nucleotides) under Homo sapiens (human). RNAcentral's name for it is "non-protein coding SNHG5:32". The record is from RNAcentral. Lineage: Eukaryota; Metazoa; Chordata; Mammalia; Primates; Hominidae.
CCUUUCCCGGAGUGCUGCGGCCAGGGCUCGCCCGCUCCUCCGGCGGCCUCCGCUGGGGGCCCACUACAGCCCAGCGCCAGCCAGCCAGCCAGCCCAGCUUCUCGAAUCGGUCCUAAGCUGAGGCCGCCCUGCGCUGCAAAACUUGUGUCCACUCUCGGACCCAAUCUGUCCUGGACGGACUUGGCUCGUGGCAGGCGAAAGCGUCGUUUCCAACUGCAGCUGUUUGAAUUCUGGCGCCACACCCGCGCCACGUAGGGCCAAGUCGGCCGCCAGACUCGUGCGAGAGGGCGGGACGGCCUCGUUCUGACUCCGGGAGGCUAUAUAAGGAGCUACUGGCUGCGCACUUCGGUCUUUUACGUCGGCCUUCGCGAGCGUCUGGGCGGGUGGUAGGUGAGUGGGUAUUGCGGGCUAGUAUCCGAGCAAAAGAUGGUGGCGCAGGCCGAGUUAAGAGCUUUAAUCCUGUGAAGACAUCUUAGUGAAGAGUUUAGAGUGCUGAGAGUUGAAAGCUUGCACGUGGGAAACGUGCGGCCGGACUGCCACAUGUACUGAGGUUGAGUCGUGACGGCCACAGGCUCCGAGUUUUGGCGUGAGGAACCGCUGAUCGGCCACGGGCGCCGAACUUGCUGGCCUCCGGCAUGUGCCUGAGCGGCGGCGGAAAAACCACCUUAAUUGGGGCGGAGGGUUAGUUUUAACAGCAAAGGGCCUUUACUAAAAUGGCGAAGGCCUUCCGUCGGCGUUGUUUUAAAAUGGGAAGCCUCGACCCUGUAUUGAAACUGAGCUGUUCGAAGGCGGCGUUGUGUGCAAUUCGGAUUAAUGAAGGGGAAGGGUUUUGUGUGGAAAAACGCCUUGGAGUGUGACAUUUCUGCGAGAAUGCUUAAAUACCGAUUUCCCGCAGGAACAAUGGCGCUGUCUUCAGUGGCACAGUGGAGCAGCUCUGAAGAUGCAAAGAUACACGAAAAAACUUCCAGAACAUCUGGGAGAAUAUUUAAUGGAAAAUCGCUUGGUUAAAACCUGACACUUUUAACAGUGAGGGUCGCUGUCUGCCCAUUGAUAGAGGCCAGAUUGUCUUGGAAGUUCCAAAGUUGCAACGAUUUCUGGCUAGUGCCACGAGGUUUACUUGACUGUUGUGUGAAAAGCUGAUAAGAAAACCAUCCAGAAAAAAGCUCUUCGUUUUACAAACAUGAAAAUAAAACAUUUAGUUGAAUCCAUGGACAUGAAACCCACAGAUAUAGAGGGUUGGCCCGGUGCAGUGGCUCACGCCUGUAAUCCCAGCACUUUGGGAGGCCAAGGCGGGUGGAUCACCUGAGGUCAGAAGCUUGAGACCAGCCUGGCCAACAUGGUAAAACCCCAUCUCUACUAAUAAUACAAAACAAUUUGCUGGGCAUGGUGGUGCACGCUUGUAAUCCAAGCUACUCCAGAGGCUGAGGCAGAAGAAUCGCUUGAAUCCGAGAGGCAAAGGUUGCAGUGAGCCCAGAUCACACCACUGCUCUCCAACCUGGGCAACAAGAGCAAAACUCCGUCAAAAAAAAAAGAUACAGGGUCAACUGUACACAUUAAACACUUCUAUCAACUAGUGAUGUCAGUCUUGUCCAUUGUAUUAUUGCCUAUCUUACUAAACAGUCAUAUUUCAGGAAGUACAAUAUACUCAAAAACUAAGUUAAUGUUCUUUGUAGAUUUAUGGUUAAUGGAUGAUUCAUAUAAUAGAAACUUAAAUUUAUUUGACCAUUCUAUUUAAUAUAGAAUAAAUACAACUAGCCAGGCAUGGUGGCUCAUGUCUAUAAUGCCAGCACUUGGGGAGGCCAAGGUGGGAGGCUCACUUGAGCAUAGGAAUUCAAGGCCAGCCUGGGCAACACAAUGUGAGACCCGUCUCUAUGAAAAUUUUAAAAAUUAGCCAAGCAUGGUAACACAAGUCUGUGGUCCCAGCUACUUGGGAGGCUGAGGCGCGAGAAGUCCAGGAGGUCAACGCUGCAGUGAGCUGUGUGUGUGCCACUGCAUCCUAGCCUGGGCAACAGAGCAAGACCCUGUCUCAAAAAUAAAGAAUAAAUACAACCUAUUAAGCUUGAGAGAUCCAGUGAAAUCCAAAUAAGAGAAACUGUGUCCUACACAGUUUUCUGUUAACCAUUUUCUUGGUAUUUAAAUUAUUUAUCAAAUUUUAACUUCAAUAAAAAAUUAUUCUGGAGAACACAUACCUCUAGAGUAAGUAAAGUAUACACUUUCAAUUUUUAGACAUGAGGUUUUGAGGUGUUUGACUGUAUCUAAUUUCCUAAAGGCUCUAUUUUUUAACCUACAAAAAUUAUAAAAAGAUAUAUAAAAGAUAUGAAAUGUAAAAAUAAGGAAGAUAUGAAGAUUAAAAUAACCUAUAAUCCCACCACUCAGAGGUAACUGUUAUACAAUUUUUGAUGUAUUAUUCUAUGCAGAUAUAAAUUUUAAUAAAAUUUGAAUUAUAUACAGUUUGUCAUCCUGAUUCCUUUCAUUUAAUAUUCUUUUUUAAAAAAUAUUUAUUUAUUUUAGACACAGGAUCUUGCUAUGUAACCCAGGCUGGCCUCGAACUCCAGUGUUCAAGCAAUUCUUGGCUUCAACCUCCCCAAUAAAUCGGACUACAGGCGAGGGCCACCACACCCAGCUCAUUUAAUUUCUAUCAUGACAAUUUUCAACAUUAUUAAAAAUUCUACUCAUUCUUUUCAUUGGCAAUAUUGAGAGCAUUUUUUUUUAUUCUUUUUUUUUUUUUUUUUUGAGACAGAGUCUCACUCUGUUGCCAGGCUGGAGUGCAGUGGCGCGAUCUCGGCUCACUGCAACCUGUACCUCCCGGGUUCAAGCAAUUCUCCUGUCUCAGCUUCCCGAGUAGCUGGGACUACAGGCACGCGCCACUAUGCCCAGCUAAUUUUUGUAUUUUUGGUAGAGACAGGGUUUCACUAUGUUGGCCAGGAUAGUCUCAAUCUUUUGACCUUGAGAUCUGCCUACCUUGGCCUCCCAAAGUGCUGGGAUUACAGGCAUGAGCCACUGUGCCUGGAUUAUUUUUUAAUUUUUUUUUUUUGAGACAGAGUCUCACUUGGUUGCCCAGGCUGCAGUGCGCACUACCACGCCCAGCUAAUUUUUGUAUUUUUAGUAGAAAUGGGGUUUCACCAUGUUGGCCAGACUGGUCUCGAACUCCUGACCUCAAGUGAUCCACCUGCCUUGGCCUCCCAAAGUGCUACAAUUACAGGUGUGAGCCACUGCGCCUGGCUGCAUUUUAUUUUUGUAGAUAUUAAACGGUUAUUUAAUCAAUUUUAGAAAUUUAGGUUGCCUUUAAUUUUAUCCUGAUGACAAAGUUUAUAGCAAUAAAUAGUCCAAAUGUUUAAUGGUACACUGGUUAUCUCUGGACAGUAGAAUAAUCUCUAGCUAGUGGGUUUAUAUUACCAUUAAAAAAUUAAACCUCUCUGGUAAUCUAUCCUCUCAUAUCCAUUUGCAGCCAUUCUAGUCUACACUACCCCCCAACAUGGCCCUCUCUCUCUCAAUCCUUCCAUUGCACAGUCUACAGGGAUAAGAAACUACCCCUAUAUCCUCCACCAUUUUUUUUGGGUGCAUGCAUUUCUUCCACGUCCUUGCCCUAAUUAAAAUCUGAUUCUUCCUUCCUUAG